RNAcentral lists this long non-coding RNA (387 nucleotides) under Sinocyclocheilus grahami. Its description in RNAcentral is "lncRNA (ENSSGRG00000023625.1)". Lineage: Eukaryota; Metazoa; Chordata; Actinopteri; Cypriniformes; Cyprinidae. The record is from RNAcentral.
GGUCGUCAGCUGCGAGGUUUUAGAGGCUUAUUUAAUAAAAGUUCCAAGUCCUCAGUGGACACACAUAUUGGAGUUCCACCUCGUAAGCGAUCCAUAACCGACCACCUCCUUCGGAGGACUGCCAGUGCCCCUGCUAAGGGCCGCAAAAAGAUAAAGAUGCCACUGACUGAAGCUACAAGUGACAGAAAGCACAGCACUGGGGACCCUCAAACCACUUGUGUAGAGAGGAGAGCAGGAAACAGAAAAGCCCUCCAACACCGCCCAGCAUCCAUGCCCCUGGAUAAGCUCCUACAUAGUCACCUCAGCCUGUCCACCCCAGAUCGGGAGAGCCCUGAUCCUGGAGCUGACACAGUCAUUGUAGAAAACUGACUAGGAAAACCCCCGCAG